UUUCCGUAGGUGAACCAGCGGAGGGAUCAUUACAGAGUUGCAAAACUCCCAAACCAUUGUGAACGUUACCUAUCCCGUUGCUUCGGCGGGCGGCCCGGGCCCCGCGCCCGGCGCCCCCCGGCCCCCCGUGGGCGCCCGCCGGAGGUAAACCAAACCCUUGAAUUGCAUGGCCUCUCUGAGUCUUCUGUACUGAUUAAGUCAAAACUUUCAACAACGGAUCUCUUGGUUCUG
Molecule: unclassified non-coding RNA, 231 nt
Filed under: plant metagenome
Description: partial contains small subunit ribosomal RNA, internal transcribed spacer 1, and 5.8S ribosomal RNA
Source: RNAcentral